AUGGUGGAUUCCUCCACGCCAAGUGCAAGCAAACGGCACGCCAUGGCGCCGGCCCCUUGGUCCGACCUCCACAGCGAGCUCCUCGUGUCCAUUGCCGCCACCGACGGCGUGUCUCUGAGAGACUACGCAUCCCUCCGCGCCGUAUGCACCACGUGGCGCGCCGCCCUGGCGCCACUGUCGUACCCGUCCCUUCUCUCCCUCGUCCAGGGUCGCCGCAGCCACAGCGCCUCCGUUUUUUCGCUCCCGAUGCGGCGCACCUUCCACCUCCACACGGGGUCCUCCGCUAUCGUCGACCCCGAAUGCAAUUUCUAUGGCCGUGCCCAUGCUCGACUCGUCGGCUCAGGCAACGGCCGCUUCGCCAUCGCCAUCGACGCGCGGGGCACCCGAAGCACGACGCUAAGGAUCAUCCUUGUCGAUCCUCGCGCCGGCAACAUGGUGCAGCUCGGAUCUCCGGCAGGGGGCAAGGCAUCCGUAUGCAAGAUCGUGUUUGCUUCAAACAAGAGCCUGAACCCACGCAACCACAACGACAACUGGAGAGCCGUGGCUCUGUACGACCACAACAGCAGGGUAGCGUACAUCGAUACCGGCGGCGGCGGCAGCACUGAAGACAAGAAGUGGACGACCGUCAAUGUCGCUGAUGGGAAUUGCUACGACGACAUGGCCUUCAACGCCGAAGGGGACAGGGCGUAUUUUCUCAGUUCAUGUGGCAACGUGUACGUCCUCCUCAUGCCACGCGGCGGCCGGCCGGCGGCCGUAAUCGAGCCCUUGGCGACCCUCAUGCAUGACCCCAACCCAACCACCGCCUACGCCGCGCCCUACGACGUUGUGUCCCCAAAGAUGGUCACCAAGCACAUCUUCCUCCGCCAAGGCAGCCUGUACCAGGUGUGGAAGAACACCAAUGCCAACGUCAAAAUGGGCAGCGGCUACUUCAGGAUGUCUGCCGACGAGAUUUUCGUCCUCAGGUACGACACGGAACGCUGGCCAUGCUGGGACGUGGUGAAGGAUCUAGGAGGCUGCUCUGUGUUCCUCGGCAAGAGCAGCAGCCCGGUCGUGGUGCAACCCGUUGUCCCAGAGGUGAGAGCUGAUUGCGUGUACUGGAUAGACUGGCUGGGCGUUCCGAUGGUGUGUGAUAUAGCUACCGGGGCCUCCAAGCCAUGGGUGCUUCCUAAUUGCAUGUGCAAAGGUGACUGUUGGUACUUCGGUCAUGACGACACGACGAGCAUUGAUGUUUGA
RNAcentral lists this ribosomal RNA (1233 nucleotides) under Triticum aestivum (bread wheat). RNAcentral describes it as "partial small subunit ribosomal RNA". Lineage: Eukaryota; Viridiplantae; Streptophyta; Magnoliopsida; Poales; Poaceae. The record is from RNAcentral.